This 464-nucleotide ribosomal RNA is filed under the name Vreelandella stevensii. RNAcentral's name for it is "partial 16S ribosomal RNA". It matches the Rfam family "Bacterial small subunit ribosomal RNA", at positions 338 to 795 of the family's 1533-position model. The record is from RNAcentral. Lineage: Bacteria; Pseudomonadati; Pseudomonadota; Gammaproteobacteria; Oceanospirillales; Halomonadaceae.
CCUACGGGAGGCUGUAGUGGGGAAUAUUGGACAAUGGGGGCAACCCUGAUCCAGCCAUGCCGCGUGUGUGAAGAAGGCCCUCGGGUUGUAAAGCACUUUCAGUGAGGAAGAACGCCUGGUGGUUAAUACCCAUCAGGAAAGACAUCACUCACAGAAGAAGCACCGGCUAACUCCGUGCCAGCAGCCGCGGUAAUACGGAGGGUGCGAGCGUUAAUCGGAAUUACUGGGCGUAAGCGCGCGUAGGUGGCUUGAUAAGCCGGUUGUGAAAGCCCCGGGCUCAACCUGGGAACGGCAUCCGGAACUGUCAAGCUAGAGUGCAGGAGAGGAAGGUAGAAUUCCCGGUGUAGCGGUGAAAUGCGUAGAGAUCGGGAGGAAUACCAGUGGCGAAGGCGGCCUUCUGGACUGACACUGACACUGAGGUGCGAAAGCGUGGGUAGCAAACAGGAUUAGAUACCCCAGUAGUC